Molecule: small nucleolar RNA, 71 nt
Organism: Sardina pilchardus (European sardine)
Lineage: Eukaryota; Metazoa; Chordata; Actinopteri; Clupeiformes; Clupeidae
Product: small nucleolar RNA U54
Exons: 1
Source: RefSeq, a predicted model, not a curated record
AGGCUAUGAGGAUGAACAUUUUUAGUACGAAAUACUGAAUGAGUUACACCAUACGCUAUUCUGAGCCUUCA